Molecule: transfer RNA, 71 nt
Filed under: Dinophyceae sp. MGD
Lineage: Eukaryota; Dinophyceae
Description: tRNA-Cys
Rfam family: tRNA
About the family: Transfer RNA (tRNA) molecules are approximately 80 nucleotides in length. Their secondary structure includes four short double-helical elements and three loops (D, anti-codon, and T loops).
Source: RNAcentral
GGUGGCAUAGCCAAGAGGUAAGGCAGAAGAUUGCAAAUCUUUUACCCUCAGUUCGAAUCUGAGUGCCACUU